AGUUCCCUCUCGACAGCUACUGCUUAAAAAGUGAUUAAACAAUGUUUUUUUUUUUUCCUUUGUGAAUUGAAUCAAAAUCAAAUGGAAAUCAAAUCGAGCUGGCGGCAAGAUCAAAAGAUCCCUUUCCGUUCCACAAAUCGUGCUCUAUUUACAAUAUCGAAAUUUGGCUGUCUAUAAAUUUGAUCAAAUGGAAUAAGUUCAAAAGGUGCUCAGGUGUGCCACAGGGGAGGCGCCACAAAGUGGUUGCCACCCACAAAGCCAAACAAAGCUGCCGACUGCGGAAGUAUCCAUCAAGGCAGCCAAUUGAGGGAGGCCAUCAAGAGGCACCCAAAAGAUUAAAGAUUAAAGGCGAUGGCGAAGAUGAGGAAGAAGGGGAAGGCGAGUGCAACGUAUCCGUGACUUCAAACGGGGGAGUCUGCGCUGUUGUUGUUGUUGACGAACCUGUUGAUGCCCUCUAAUUAUAAUGGGUAUUAACUAAUUGAA
Drosophila mojavensis is the source of this 483-nucleotide long non-coding RNA. RefSeq lists it as uncharacterized. NCBI's taxonomy places the organism in Eukaryota, Metazoa, Arthropoda, Insecta, Diptera, Drosophilidae. The transcript has 2 exons. The record is from RefSeq and is a predicted model, not a curated record.